CUUUGGGAUAACCCUCGGGAACGGGGGCUAAUACCGGAUACGACUCUUGCCUGCAUGGGUGGGGGUGGAAAGUUUUUUCGGCUAGGGGUGGGCUCGCGGCCUAUCAGCUUGUUGGUGGGGUGAUGGCCUACCAAGGCGACGACGGGUAGCCGGCCUGAGAGGGCGACCGGCCACACUGGGACUGAGACACGGCCCAGACUCCUACGGGAGGCAGCAGUGGGGAAUAUUGCACAAUGGGCGGAAGCCUGAUGCAGCGACGCCGCGUGAGGGAUGACGGCCUUCGGGUUGUAAACCUCUUUCAGCAGGGACGAAGCGUGAGUGACGGUACCUGCAGAAGAAGCGCCGGCCAACUACGUGCCAGCAGCCGCGGUAAGACGUAGGGCGCGAGCGUUGUCCGGAUUUAUUGGGCGUAAAGAGCUCGUAGGCGGCUUGUUGCGUCGACCGUGAAAACCCGGGGCUCAACUUCGGGCUUGCGGUCGAUACGGGCGGGCUAGAGUUCGGUAGGGGAGACUGGAAUUCCUGGUGUAGCGGUGAGAUGCGCAGAUAUCAGGAGGAACACCGGUGGCGAAGGCGGGUCUCUGGGCCGAUACUGACGCUGAGGAGCGAAAGCGUGGGGAGCGAACAGGAUUAGAUACCCUGGUAGUCCACGCUGUAAACGUUGGGCGC
RNAcentral lists this ribosomal RNA (666 nucleotides) under uncultured Micromonosporaceae bacterium. Its description in RNAcentral is "bacterial SSU rRNA". It matches the Rfam family "Bacterial small subunit ribosomal RNA", at positions 136 to 816 of the family's 1533-position model. Lineage: Bacteria; Bacillati; Actinomycetota; Actinomycetes; Micromonosporales; Micromonosporaceae. The record is from RNAcentral.